This 440-nucleotide ribosomal RNA is filed under the name uncultured bacterium. RNAcentral describes it as "partial 16S ribosomal RNA". It matches the Rfam family "Bacterial small subunit ribosomal RNA", at positions 338 to 795 of the family's 1533-position model. The record is from RNAcentral.
CCUACGGGUGGCAGCAGUAGGGAAUAUUGCUCAAUGGGGGAAACCCUGAAGCAGCAACGCCGCGUGGAGGAUGAAGGUUUUCGGAUUGUAAACUCCUUUUGUUAGAGAAGAUAAUGACGGUAUCUAACGAAUAAGCACCGGCUAACUCCGUGCCAGCAGCCGCGGUAAUACGGCGGGUGCAAGCGUUACUCGGAAUCACUGGGCGUAAAGCGCGCGUAUGCGGGAUAGCAAGUCAGAUGUGAAAUCCUAUGGCUUACACAUAGAACUUCAUUUGAAACUGUUAUUCUAGAGUAUGGGAGAGGUAAGUGGAAUUCUUGGUGUAGGGGUAAAAUCCGUAGAGAUCAAGAGGAAUACUCAUUGCGACGGCGACCUACUAGAACAUAACUGACGCUGAUGCGCGAAAGCGUGGGGAGCAAACAGGAUUAGAUACCCUAGUAGUC